GGUGGUUCUGAAUGGAAGGGCCAUCGCUCAACGGAUAAAAGGUACUCCGGGGAUAACAGGCUGAUACCGCCCAAGAGUUCAUAUCGACGGCGGUGUUUGGCACCUCGAUGUCGGCUCAUCACAUCCUGGGGCUGAAGUAGGUCCCAAGGGUAUGGCUGUUCGCCAUUUAAAGUGGUACGCGAGCUGGGUUUAGAACGUCGUGAGACAGUUCGGUCCCUAUCUGCCGUGGGCGCUGGAGAACUGAGGGGGGCUGCUCCUAGUACGAGAGGACCGGAGUGGACGCAUCACUGGUGUUCGGGUUGUCAUGCCAAUGGCACUGCCCGGUAGCUAAAUGCGGAAGAGAUAAGUGCUGAAAGCAUCUAAGCACGAAACUUGCCCCGAGAUGA
Molecule: ribosomal RNA, 386 nt
Filed under: Shigella flexneri
Lineage: Bacteria; Pseudomonadati; Pseudomonadota; Gammaproteobacteria; Enterobacterales; Enterobacteriaceae
Description: partial 23S ribosomal RNA
Rfam family: Bacterial large subunit ribosomal RNA
Source: RNAcentral